GAUGAACGCUGGCGGCGUGCCUAAUACAUGCAAGUCGAGCGAACAGACGAGGAGCUUGCUCCUCUGACGUUAGCGGCGGACGGGUGAGUAACACGUGGAUAACCUACCUAUAAGACUGGGAUAACUUCGGGAAACCGGAGCUAAUACCGGAUAAUAUAUUGAACCGCAUGGUUCCAUAGUGAAAGACGGUUUUGCUGUCACUUAUAGAUGGAUCCGCGCCGCAUUAGCUAGUUGGUAAGGUAACGGCUUACCAAGGCAACGAUGCGUAGCCGACCUGAGAGGGUGAUCGGCCACACUGGAACUGAGACACGGUCCAGACUCCUACGGGAGGCAGCAGGAGGGAAUCUGCCGCAAAGGGCGAAAGCCUGACGGAGCAACGCCGCGUGAGUGAUGAAGGUCGUCGGAUCGUAAAACUCUGUUAGUAGGGAAGAACAAAUGUGUAAGUAACUAUGCACGGCUGGACGGUACCUAAUCAGAAAGCCACGGCUAAGUACGGG
RNAcentral lists this ribosomal RNA (497 nucleotides) under uncultured bacterium. Its description in RNAcentral is "partial 16S ribosomal RNA". It matches the Rfam family "Bacterial small subunit ribosomal RNA", at positions 28 to 507 of the family's 1533-position model. The record is from RNAcentral.